CCUUCCGAGUCUCCCACAUCGGAGCACCUGAGACUUCUAGGAGACAUUUUAGUUCUAAACUAGCUCACCUAUGUGCUCUGACCCUAGGAUUCCUAUGGAAUCCAAUAUUAAAACCCCUAUAUUAUAAUAUUUCACAAGUUAGUAACUUCUAUCAUCCAUUCAUUUUCUAAUAUUAAUUAAUGAAUAUGACAACAGCUUGACAAAUGACUAAUCACUUACUGGGAGUAAAAGGAUUACCAGCUGCCACACAGUCUUCAUCAGCAGGAGUGGAUCACUCACUUACUGCUUUAUACCCAUGGAAAGACAUUCUACCUUCAGAAAAAAGAAAGGAAGCUGCAUUAAUUAACCAGAAAGCAAAAAUCCAGUUUAUAUGAAUUUGCCUGUAAGUUCAUGGAAUGGAAGUUUAACACGUCUGAUUCUGAGUCAGAAACGCCUGCUCUGCUGAAAUCCCCACACCCCAAUGAUCUCUUUAAUGCCUGCUCUUCUCCUUGACAGUCCCUCUCUCUGUGGGACAAGCUACAGCUUUUGGAAACUAUGCUCCACAUCAAUGCUUUUGCCAUUUCUGUCUCUGCCUUUCCAGCCUAAUUUGUAGGUAAGGCAAUUCUACUCUCCUCCUUCUGUCAGUCCUGCAGAGGUGGCCCAGUCUCUCUCUUUGUACCAAGAAAAUGCCUGGUGCCUGCCCUCUUUCAGCUUCCCGAAAGCCCAAAGUCCAAAGGCUAGAGUUUGGUUUUUCAAUCCAGUUUGACUCACUCUCUUGUGAUAAUAGAUUUCUGUAACAAAGGAUAUGACUAUUUUAAGAGCCUGGAUAUGUGCUAGUAAGUAACUAUAUCUGCAGAUAAAAAUAUUAUUCCAAUUUAUAUUUUCAUCCUCACCACUACAUAAUAUUGAGAAAACAAAUUGCAAGAUUAGUGAUGAAAACAGGGAAAGAAGGAAAAGGCCGGGGUUGAGAAG
Molecule: long non-coding RNA, 951 nt
Filed under: Chinchilla lanigera (long-tailed chinchilla)
Lineage: Eukaryota; Metazoa; Chordata; Mammalia; Rodentia; Chinchillidae
Description: lncRNA (ENSCLAG00000024597.1)
Source: RNAcentral